GUGGUACUGAGGCUUCAGCGGGUGCCGCCCGCCUAGAGGGAGUGGAGCGGUGAGCACGUCAGGGGUGGGGGGCGCAGGUCAAGCUUUCACCAGUUUUUAAUUCUUUGAUGGGGUAAAUUUGAGCAAUUUUCUCGACUUGUCGACAUUCGUUAUUAACUGAGCAGGAAUCAGGAGAGGAACCCGGUCCUCUCCACACAGCCCAGCAGAGAGCCUACGACUAGAUUUGCAUCUUUACGUCCUGCGCGGAGGCUGCUACACACAUGCAGAAGUCAUGCUGGUGGCCUGGACAGUGAAGGGAGAGAAGUGGAUUUGGGAGACAUUUAGGAGGCUUCCAGCUCAGCCCGCCCCAGGCCAGGUGAUCGGCCGCCACAUCCCCUGAGACUAAAGCACCUGCUCCUCCAUGAACUUGCCAAGAGCUGAGCGCCUUCGCUCCACACCGCAGCGCAGCCUCCGGGACUCCGAUGGAG
RNAcentral lists this long non-coding RNA (467 nucleotides) under Pan troglodytes (chimpanzee). RNAcentral describes it as "long non-coding RNA NONPTRT009689". Lineage: Eukaryota; Metazoa; Chordata; Mammalia; Primates; Hominidae. The record is from RNAcentral.